AUGCAAGUCGAGCGAGAAACACUUCGCGUGUGAGUACAGCGGCGAACGGGUGAGUACCAUGUGGGCAAUCUGCCCCAGAGAGCGGGACAACCCAGGGAAACCCGGGCUAAUACCGCAUGAUCCACCGAGACCUAAGUCUUUGUGGCAAAUGGUAGCUUCGGCCUCCGCUCUGGGAUGAGCCCGCGUCGCAUUAGCUUGUUGGUGAGGUAACGGCUCACCAAGGCGACGAUGCGUAGCUGGUCUGAGAGGACGAUCAGCCACACUGGGACUGAGACACGGCCCAGACUCCUACGGGAGGCAGCAGUGGGGAAUCUUGCGCAAUGGGCGAAAGCCUGACGCAGCAACGCCGCGUGUGGGAAGACGGCCCUCGGGUUGUAAACCACUUUCAGGGGGGACGAAGCCACUCAGGUUAAUAGCCGAGAGGGUGACGGUACCCCCAGAAGAAGCCCCGGCUAACUACGUGCCAGUAGCCGCGGUAAUACGUAGGGGGCGAGCGUUGUCCGGAAUCAUUGGGCGUAAAGCACGUGUAGGCGGCUUGGUCAGUUUGGUGUGAAAUCCCGGGGCUCAACCCCGGAACUGCACUGAAUACUGCCUCGCUAGAGUCCGGGAGAGGAGUUGGGAAUUCCCAGUGUAGCGGUGAAAUGCGC
This 647-nucleotide ribosomal RNA is filed under the name uncultured marine bacterium. Its description in RNAcentral is "bacterial SSU rRNA". It matches the Rfam family "Bacterial small subunit ribosomal RNA", at positions 55 to 691 of the family's 1533-position model. The record is from RNAcentral.